RNAcentral lists this transfer RNA (76 nucleotides) under Planctomycetes bacterium ADurb.Bin069. Its description in RNAcentral is "tRNA-Lys". It matches the Rfam family "tRNA". Rfam says of the family: Transfer RNA (tRNA) molecules are approximately 80 nucleotides in length. RNAcentral also lists the same sequence under 1 other name. Lineage: Bacteria; Pseudomonadati; Planctomycetota. The record is from RNAcentral.
GCCCUCGUAGCUCAGCUGGUAGAGCAGCGGAUUCUUAAUCCGCGAGUCCCGGGUUCGAAUCCUGGCGGGGGUACCA